Long non-coding RNA from Microplitis demolitor, 599 nucleotides. RefSeq lists it as uncharacterized. The record is from RefSeq and is a predicted model, not a curated record. The transcript has 3 exons. NCBI's taxonomy places the organism in Eukaryota, Metazoa, Arthropoda, Insecta, Hymenoptera, Braconidae.
ACUAAAUUGUCAACUAGUGUACAGUCAACUAUGCUCGAAUCAAUGAUUUCAAAUUAAUUAAUUAUACAUUAAAAAUGUAAUUGUUCAUAAAUCUUUAUAAUAGUCACAUCUAUAUCUAUAUCUAUACUAAUAUAUAAAUCUAUAGGCUCUGUCUGUACAUGGUGAUUUUAUUUCGAAUUAUGCGUCAAAUAUCAUUUUUAUGACCUACUCAUACUGUAUCUACCUUUUUUAGAAUUUUCGUCUGUCUGUCUCUCUGUCGGUUUGUACCUUUAUAACUAAUCAACCACUUAUCUGAUUGAGAUGAAAUUUUUUAUACAUAUACAAGAUGCUGUCACUUAAAAUAUAGGCUACUUUUUAAAUCAAUUAUAAAUCAGAAUUCGGAUUAGAUUUUGUUUCAUUUAUCAAUUGUUUCUGUCAAUUGAAUCGUCUAUCACAUUUCAUUAAGCAGUCAAAAUAAGAGUGUCUAAUCUGACUUAUUUGUAACUAAGAUUAAAAAGACAAAAUUACGUAUCUUACGCAAUAUGUAAAAUAAAUGAAGAUCAUAACCUAUAAAUAAUCAUUUAUAUUAUUUAUAAACAAUUUUUGUGCAUUAACUUAUA